AAGUUUUCAUGCCCUAGUUCAUGGUUAACUUUUUUCAAAACAGUCAAUUUUCAAAGUUUUUCUACAAUAAAGGACUUGGACAAUUCUAAAGUUCAUGUGAUAUGAGACAUUUUUGCAAAUACAAAUGAUUAUUAAUUUUCUUAUUUAUUCAUAUCAGUAUAAAAUAGGAACUUAUAUCUCAACAAAUAGGUCCACUGGGAGAUCAUUAAAUAUGGAAAGAUUUUUCUGUUCUUACGUUUAAAAAUAAUAGACCAAAUGCUUUUUUAAAAGAGGUACAAUACAAAUGUGAUGUCUUCAAAUCUUAUUCGUUUCAUCACAUUUUUAAGACACCUCGCUAGUGUAUUGGAUUAGUAUGCUCAGAUGUAUCAGUUCCAUUUUGAGGGUUCCUAUUUCCUGGAUGUGUAGAUAUAUUUUUUCCAGUCUUUCCCAGCAUGUAUUUAUAAUAAUUCAUAAGUAAAAGCACAGAUUUAAUUGUAAUCUAGCUUGAUGCUCUUUUCCAGAUUCCUAACGUGAAACUCAUUUCUUACAUGGUACCUCAAAUUAACAGUCUAUUCAAUAAAAUUGUAAGCCCUUAAAAUUUGAGGGGGUGGCCCUUGUCAAAAUGAAAAAUGGAAAACUCAUGCUUCAGAGAUAGGAACAAAUAAUAUGUGAAAACAUUUAAGAGGUUUGAAGUUAUUAAAAUGGCAGAUCUACUGGGAAUAGAAAGAGCAGUAUGUCAUGGAAGAAACGAAGGAGCGGGGAGGCAGGAAGCAUUCCCUGGCCUUUUCAAUCCUACGUUUUAAAACAAAACAAAAAAAUUCUGGGAGAAUUGGAAGGUAGCCAACCUAAUGCCGUUAUUUCAUAGAGCUUAGGGACACACCAGGAAAUUACAGGCCAGUUAGUUUAACUUCACUUGUAGGGAAAGUAUUAAAAACUGCUGCAGGAGAUCAAGUAAAAGGAUGCUUAGAAAAGCACAGCUUGAUUAAGGCAAGCCUGGCCAACGUGGUUUUCGGAAAGGGAAGGUCAUGUCUUAGGAACUUGUUGAAAUUCUUUGAAGCUAUUAUGGCCAGUAGAGUCUUCAAAGCACAUGGCCAAGUCCAGAACCUGCGUAUCUUUUCCGUCGCACAUCAGUCCUUCAGGGAUGCCUGCAGAAUGUGGCCUGCACCAGGGGCUUCAGCACUCCAGGUUUGGAAACCACUAUCAAAAUAGCAGAAAAUAACCUCUGAUGGAACAUUUUUCAAGCUGGAACCAAUUAAUACAACCUGAUGUUUAUAAAUGAAAAAUAAUGAGACUUGGAACAAAAUUUAGGAAUAUUGGGCUGUAACAAAGAAGUACUACUCUGGGACUAUAAAAACAACCUAAGAGUUAUUUUGCCAGAAUCUGGACUGCGGAGGUCUUUCUCACCCAAAGAAGGGAAGACAGGAGAAAUAGCAGUGCUAGAAACUGUUACACAGUAAAAGGUUAUAAAGAGUUGCAACUAAAUUAAUUCUGUCGAGCUGGGGAAAAGAGCAGUGGAGUGUGCGAACAACUGAGCCUCCAUAUUCUGGAGGAGGCCAGAGCAGCCCAGCAGAGAAAGCCACGUUCAGAGAGGGCAGAAGGUCAGGACGCCAUUGCUUUAGGAAUGGGCUCCCAGGGUGUAAAUAUGUUUGCUUCUCAGAU
This 1638-nucleotide long non-coding RNA is filed under the name Marmota monax (woodchuck). The record is from RNAcentral. Lineage: Eukaryota; Metazoa; Chordata; Mammalia; Rodentia; Sciuridae.